CCGAGCUGCUCGUGCAAGGGAAAGCCCAGUUUACUUAGGUGCUCAAUCAUUUCGAUCAUGUACAGUACAUGAUCAGUGACUGAGGCUCCAUCCCUCAUCCGAGCAUUAAAAAUGGCACAACUAGUUUUGUGCCUUUCAACGUCGUCAGGCGUGCUAAAGGAGUCGUUCAAUAUUUGAAGCAUCUCCUGUGGCUGGGCGU
This 199-nucleotide long non-coding RNA is filed under the name Elaeis guineensis (African oil palm). RNAcentral's name for it is "long non-coding RNA (EGUI_LNC050530)". The record is from RNAcentral. Lineage: Eukaryota; Viridiplantae; Streptophyta; Magnoliopsida; Arecales; Arecaceae.